RNAcentral lists this unclassified non-coding RNA (405 nucleotides) under soil metagenome. RNAcentral describes it as "partial contains 5.8S ribosomal RNA, internal transcribed spacer 2, and large subunit ribosomal RNA". The stretch from base 1 to 121 matches the Rfam family "5.8S ribosomal RNA", at positions 35 to 154 of the family's 154-position model. The record is from RNAcentral.
GAUGAAGAACGUAGCGAAAUGCGAUAAGUAAUGUGAAUUGCAGAAUUCAGUGAAUCAUCGAAUCUUUGAACGCACCUUGCGCCCUUUGGACAUUCCGAAGGGCAUGCCUGUUUGAGUAUCAUGAACACCUCAACUCUCACGGCUUGUCCGUGAUGAGCUUGGACUUUGGGGGUCUUGCCGGCCUGUGGUCGGCUCCUCUCAAAUGGAUCAGCUUGCCAGUGUUUGGUGGCAUCACAGGUGUGAUAACUAUCUGCGCUUGUGGUUUUCCAUCAGAUAACCUUCAGUGAUAUGGAGGUUCGCUGGAGCUCACAAAUGUCUCUCCUUAGUGAGGACAGCUCUUUGAACGUUUGAUCUCAAAUCAGGUAGGACUACCCGCUGAACUUAAGCAUAUCAAUAAGCGGAGUA